CCUUAGUAGCGGCGAGCGAAGCGGGAGGAGCCCAAGCUCUGAAUCUGGGCGCGCGCCAAGUCCGUGCCCCGAAUUGUGGUCUCAUGGCAAGGCAUCGCUGAGCGCGGUCGCUGGUCGGGCAAAAGUCCCUUGGAAAAGGGCGCCAGGGAGGGUGACAGCCCCGUCCAUUGGUCCGGCAUCGCGGCCGUCUCGAUUGCGCUGUUGCACUUGCCCCAGAGUCGGGUUGUUUGGGAAUGCAGCCCUAAGCGGGUGGUAAAUCCCACCCAAGGCUAAAUAUUGUCAGCGAGAGACCGAUAGCGAACAAGUACCGUGAGGGAAAGAUGAAAAGGACUUUGAAAAGAGAGUCAAAAGUGCUUGAAAUUGUUAGGAGGGAAGCGAUCGGCGCCGGCGGUUCGUCUUUAGUUCGGGGCUGUUCAGUGGUGCCUGCUUGUCGGGAGGGCCGCAGCGGCGGGGAGUGCUCACGUGCCUCCGCUCUGUGUUCGUUCUGGCGCAAACCAUGCAUUCAGUCCCGGCGACGAGCCAGCAUCGGCUUCAUGUUUAGUGCGCGUGGCUGACGGGCGCUGGGGAUCAAAGGGCCUGGCGGGCCGGCUUCACAGCCGUGUCCCACCGGUGCGACCCAGCGUACCUGCCAUCGCAGGGGCCGAGGAACCAAUUAACCCAUGCCCGCAAGGGCGAGGCAGUGUGUCAUCGUGGCGGGCAUGCGUGUGGGGAUCGGGAACCGAUGCCUGUGUGCAUGCCUGUCGCUCUGUGGCACGCGUCCAUCUCUGGUGGGUUAGUGAUGCUGGCGGAACGGCGCUGAUCGAAC
RNAcentral lists this ribosomal RNA (805 nucleotides) under unidentified. RNAcentral's name for it is "eukaryotic LSU rRNA". It matches the Rfam family "Eukaryotic large subunit ribosomal RNA", at positions 78 to 649 of the family's 3401-position model. The record is from RNAcentral.